Molecule: ribosomal RNA, 344 nt
Filed under: uncultured fungus
Lineage: Eukaryota; Fungi
Description: SSU rRNA
Rfam family: Eukaryotic small subunit ribosomal RNA
Source: RNAcentral
GGUUCAUUCAAAUUUCUUCCCUAUCAACUUUCGAUGUUUGGGUAUUGGCCAAACAUGGUUGCAACGGGUAACGGAGGGUUAGGGCUCGACCCCGGAGAAGGAGCCUGAGAAACGGCUACUACAUCCAAGGAAGGCAGCAGGCGCGCAAAUUACCCAAUCCCGACCGGGGAGGUAGUGACAAUAAAUACUGAUACAGGGCUCUUUUGGGUCUUGUAAUUGGAAUGAGUACAAUUUAAAUCCCUUAACGAGGAACAAUUGGAGGGCAAGUCUGGUGCCAGCAGCCGCGGUAAUUCCAGCUCCAAUAGCGUAUAUUANAGUUGUUGUGGUUAAAAAGCUCGUAGUUG